Molecule: ribosomal RNA, 497 nt
Filed under: uncultured bacterium
Lineage: Bacteria
Description: partial 16S ribosomal RNA
Rfam family: Bacterial small subunit ribosomal RNA
Source: RNAcentral
GAUGAACGCUGGCGGCGUGCCUAAUACAUGCAAGUCGAGCGAAAAGACGAGGAGCUUGCUCCUCUGACGUUAGCGGCGGACGGGUGAGUAACACGUGGAUAACCUACCUAUAAGACUGGGAUAACUUCGGGAAACCGGAGCUAAUACCGGAUAAGAUAUUGAACCGCAUGGUUCAAUAGUGAAAGACGGUUUUGCGGUCACUUAUAGAUGGAUCCGCGCCGCAUUAGCUAGUUGGUAAGGUAACGGCUUACCAAGGCAACGAUGCGUAGCCGACCUGUGAGGGUGAUCGGCCACACUGGAACUGAGACACGGUCCAGGCUCCUACGGGAGGCAGCAGUAGGGAAUCUUCCGCAAUGGGCGAAAGCCUGACGGAGCAACGCCGCGUGAGUGAUGAAGGUCUUCGGAUCGUAAAACUCUGUUAUUAGGGAAGAACAACUGUGUAAGUAACUAUGCACGUCUUGACGGUACCUAAUCAGAAAGCCACGGCUAACUACGUG